This 72-nucleotide transfer RNA is filed under the name Candidatus Kaiserbacteria bacterium. RNAcentral's name for it is "tRNA-Glu". It matches the Rfam family "tRNA". From Rfam's summary of the family: Transfer RNA (tRNA) molecules are approximately 80 nucleotides in length. Their secondary structure includes four short double-helical elements and three loops (D, anti-codon, and T loops). The record is from RNAcentral. Lineage: Bacteria; Candidatus Kaiseribacteriota. RNAcentral also lists the same sequence under 1 other name.
GGUCCCAUCGUCUAACGGCUAGGACGUCAGGUUUUCAUCCUGGAAAUCGGGGUUCGAUUCCCCGUGGGAUCA